CCUACGGGUGGCAGCAGUGAGGAAUAUUGGUCAAUGGUCGGGAGACUGAACCAGCCAAGCCGCGUGAGGGAUUAAGGUCCAGCGUAUCGUAAACCUCUUUUGCCAGGGAACAAAUGCGCGGACGCGUCCCCGGCUGCGGGUACCUCGAGAAAAAGCAUCGGCUAACUCCGUGGCAGCAGCCGCGGUAACACGGAGGGUGCGAGCGUUAUCCGGAUUUAGUGGGUUUUAAGGGUGCGCAGGCGGUCCGUUAAGUCGGCGGUCAAAGGCCGGGGCUCAACCCCGGCCCGCCGUUGAAACUGGCAGGCUGUAGUGGGAGAGAAGUAGGCGGAAUGCGCGGUGUAGCGGUGAAAUGCAUAGAUAUCACGCAGAACUCCGAUUGCGAAGGCAGCAUGCCGGCGCCAGACUGACGCUGCGGCACGAAAGCGUGGGUAUCGAACAGGAUUAGAUACCCUAGUAGUC
RNAcentral lists this ribosomal RNA (459 nucleotides) under uncultured bacterium. RNAcentral's name for it is "partial 16S ribosomal RNA". It matches the Rfam family "Bacterial small subunit ribosomal RNA", at positions 338 to 795 of the family's 1533-position model. The record is from RNAcentral.